GUGAAACAGAAACUACGUUUAUGAAACAUGCUUUUAUUACAGCACCCUCCAACUCUUUCCAAAAAAACAAGACAGAAAAAUAAGAAUAAGAAGAAGAAAAGAACAGUGAAGUAAAAUGUGUUGUUUUGAAUGCAUUGCUUCAGUUGUUCAGUUGGAUCUAAUGUUUGUAGAGUUGCAUAUAUCUUAUUAUAAUAGAUGAAAUCAACCAGCACUUCACUCCAGAUUGGUUUCUUUUUUUUCAUGGCAUUGACCCUCACCUUGGACCAUUAUUUUUUCCUCCUCUUAUUUUU
This 290-nucleotide unclassified non-coding RNA is filed under the name Hevea brasiliensis (rubber tree). The record is from RNAcentral. Lineage: Eukaryota; Viridiplantae; Streptophyta; Magnoliopsida; Malpighiales; Euphorbiaceae.